CCUACGGGUGGCAGCAGUGAGGAAUAUUGGUCAAUGGGCGGAAGCCUGAACCAGCCAAGUCGCGUGAGGGAAUAAGGCCCUACGGGUCGUAAACCUCUUUUGCCGGGGAGCAAGGGCGGGGACGUGUCCCGGCCCGGAGAGUACCCGGAGAAAAAGCAUCGGCUAACUCCGUGCCAGCAGCCGCGGUAAUACGGAGGAUGCGAGCGUUAUCCGGAUUUAUUGGGUUUAAAGGGUGCGUAGGCGGGCUUUUGAGUCAGCGGUAAAAAUUCGGGGCUCAACCCCUUCCCGACGGUGAAACUGGCGCUCUUGAGUGGAAGAGAAGGAUGCGGAAUGCGUGGUGUAGCGGUGAAAUGCAUAGAUAUCACGCAGAACCCCGAUUGCGAAGGCAGGAUGCCGGCUUCCGACUGACGCUGAAGCACGAAAGCGUGGGGAUCGAACAGGAUUAGAUACCCUAGUAGUC
This 460-nucleotide ribosomal RNA is filed under the name uncultured bacterium. Its description in RNAcentral is "partial 16S ribosomal RNA". It matches the Rfam family "Bacterial small subunit ribosomal RNA", at positions 338 to 795 of the family's 1533-position model. The record is from RNAcentral.